RNAcentral lists this ribosomal RNA (118 nucleotides) under uncultured Rhodococcus sp. RNAcentral's name for it is "partial 16S ribosomal RNA". It matches the Rfam family "Bacterial small subunit ribosomal RNA", at positions 394 to 524 of the family's 1533-position model. Lineage: Bacteria; Bacillati; Actinomycetota; Actinomycetes; Mycobacteriales; Nocardiaceae. The record is from RNAcentral.
ACGCCGCGUGAGGGAUGACGGCCUUCGGGUUGUAAACCUCUUUCAGUACCGACGAAGCGCAAGUGACGGUAGGUACAGAAGAAGCACCGGCCAACUACGUGCCAGCAGCCGCGGUAAU